GACGAACGCUGGCGGCGUGCUUAACACAUGCAAGUCGAACGGUGAAGCUCCAGCUUGCUGGAGUGGAUCAGUGGCGAACGGGUCAGUAACACGUGAGCAACCUGCCCCUGACUCUGGAAUAAGCGCUGGAAACGGCGUCUAAUACUGGAUACGAGAAGGGUCCGCAUGGGCACUUUCUGGAAAGUUUUUCGGUUGGGGAUGGGCUCGCGGCCUAUCAGCUUGUUGGUGAGGUAAUGGCUCACCAAGGCGACGACGGGUAGCCGGCCUGAGAGGGCGACCGGCCACACUGGGACUGAGACACGGCCCAGACUCCUACGGGAGGCAGCAGUGGGGAAUAUUGCACAAUGGGCGAAAGCCUGAUGCAGCGACGCCGCGUGAGGGAUGACGGCCUUCGGGUUGUAAACCUCUUUCAGCAGGGAAGAAGCGAAAGUGACGGUACCUGCAGAAGAAGCACCGGCUAACUACGUG
RNAcentral lists this ribosomal RNA (468 nucleotides) under uncultured bacterium. RNAcentral's name for it is "partial 16S ribosomal RNA". It matches the Rfam family "Bacterial small subunit ribosomal RNA", at positions 28 to 507 of the family's 1533-position model. The record is from RNAcentral.